Molecule: ribosomal RNA, 506 nt
Filed under: uncultured bacterium
Lineage: Bacteria
Description: bacterial SSU rRNA
Rfam family: Bacterial small subunit ribosomal RNA
Source: RNAcentral
AUUGAACGCUGGCGGAAUGCUUUACACAUGCAAGUCGAACGGCAGCACGGGGCAACCUGGUGGCGAGUGGCGAACGGGUGAGUAAUAUAUCGGAACGUGCCCAAUCGUGGGGGAUAACGUAGCGAAAGUUACGCUAAUACCGCAUACGAUCUACGGAUGAAAGCGGGGGAUCGCAAGACCUCGCGCGAAUGGAGCGGUCGAUAUCAGAUUAGGUAGUUGGUGGGGUAAAGGCUCACCAAGCCAACGAUCUGUAGCUGGUCUGAGAGGACGACCAGCCACACUGGAACUGAGACACGGUCCAGACUCCUACGGGAGGCAGCAGUGGGGAAUUUUGGACAAUGGGCGCAAGCCUGAUCCAGCCAUUCCGCGUGCAGGAUGAAGGCCUUCGGUUGUAACUAGCUUUGUUACGGAACGAAACGGUACUGCCCUAACUAACGGCGGGCGUAAUGACGGUACCGUAACGAAUAAGCACCGGCUAACUACGUGCCAGCAGCCGCGGUAACUGU